Small nuclear RNA from Oryctolagus cuniculus (rabbit), 102 nucleotides. The record is from Ensembl. NCBI's taxonomy places the organism in Eukaryota, Metazoa, Chordata, Mammalia, Lagomorpha, Leporidae.
AUGCUGGCUUCAGCAGCACAUGUGCUGAAACUGGAAUGACACAGAGAUUAGCAUGGCCCCUGCACAAGGAUGACACAAAUUCGUGAAGCUUUCCAUACUUUU